ACAUACUCAUUGGUUACUCAGGAAACCGGAAGCGUGAAGUGAAAGACCCGAUCCUCCCAAGCUUAGGCUCUAAUUGCUAAAUACCCUCUCAGUAUCUUAUUCGGUCCUGGGUGACAAGGGCCUUUGCUUUAUUCUCUCAUUUGCCCCAUUAUACCUAGAAUAUACCAGGAUCUAAGAGUAUUUCCCAAAGUAUAUGUGAAAUGCCAGCACUCAUUUAACAGAAGGCUCUGUUUUUUUCUUUGUCUUUCUGUUUAAGACCUUGCCUGUAGGAUCAAUAAAUAUUCAUCCUAGGUAUUAUAUGUGAGGCAGAGAAAAGGAAAAAAAACCAAAGACAUAGAUUAAGACAGGGCUGACCUCAGAAGCCAUCUAAUUUAAUUCCUUUAUUUUACAGGUGGGAGAAGAGAGACCAGGUCAUACUGAGUGACAUGACUAACAUCACACAACCAGUUAGCCGCAGAACCAGAGCGACCCCUGACUCUGACACUGGAUUUCUUUGACACUGGAUUUCUUUUUUGGAGGCAUGAAAGAGAAAUGUAGCUCCAUGGAAACAGCAAAAUUCACACAACUAAAGGCUGAGCAAUCUUCAACCAAAUGGACCAGAAACCUUCAAAAAGAUAUCCUACUCCAGAAGACAAAGAGGAGGCCACAUUGAGAGGGCCACACCUGUGGCAUGUGGAGGUUCCCAGGAUGGAAGUCAAUUUUGUACAAAAAUCAUAGGAGUUCCCGUCGUGGCGCAGUGGUUAACGAAUCCGACUAGG
Molecule: non-coding RNA, 758 nt
Organism: Sus scrofa (pig)
Lineage: Eukaryota; Metazoa; Chordata; Mammalia; Artiodactyla; Suidae
Source: RefSeq, a predicted model, not a curated record